CUGGUGAAACUCGUCUUCCAAGACAAGCGCUCCGUAGUUUCUACACUCCAGGUCCACUACCUGAUGAAACUCGUCUUCCAGGACAAGCGCUCCGUGGUUCCUGCGCUCCAGGUCAACUACCUGGUGAAAUUCGACUUCCGGAACAAGGACUCCGUGGUUCUUGCGCUCCAGAUCCGCUACCUGGUGAAACUCGACUUCCAGCACAAACGCUCCAUAGUUUCUACACUCCAGGUCCGCUACCUGGUGAAACUCGACUUCCAGGAUGAGCGCUCCGUAGUUCUGGCUGUCCAGGUCCUUCACCUGGUAACUUUUGACGUUCAGGACUAAUUAUCCGUAGUUCUGGUUAAACUUGUCAUGUUAACAAAAGAUUAUUUUAAUUCAUUUUUCGCUCAAGCCCAAAUUCAGUAGCUAUCAAUGCGCUAAUAAAAUUUCUAUAAUUUUUUAUAAUGUUCUCGUAAUCUUCUCGGUGAAAUGUGUCAAUAAAAAAAUUGUAUUAAUCCUUAUACAAUACUUUUGAUGUGUUCUAAUACUAGAAAUAUUUAUGAGUAUUCGAAGUAUAACCCGGGGUGGUUAACGGUGAUCGUUGGAGGUGGUUGAAGGUGGUUAGGGGUGGUUGCGGGUGAUCAAGGUGGACGAGGAGGAGGACGAGGAAGGCGAGCAGAACAAGGUGGACGAGGAGAACGAAGGUUUCUGCACGGUAUAACCCGAGGUAGUUAUCGGUGGUUGUUGGAGGUGGUUGAGGGUGGUUGGAGGUGGUCGGAGGUGGACGAGGAGGAGGACGAGGAAAACUAGGAGAACAAGAUGGAAGAGGAGGACAAGGAUUUGUGCUCGGUAUGACCCGAGGUGGUUAGCGGUGGUUGUUGG
This 864-nucleotide long non-coding RNA is filed under the name Neodiprion pinetum (white pine sawfly). RNAcentral describes it as "uncharacterized LOC124213993". Lineage: Eukaryota; Metazoa; Arthropoda; Insecta; Hymenoptera; Diprionidae. The record is from RNAcentral.